CAGCCGCCACGGUAAAACGAAGGGUGCAAGCGUUACUCGGAAUCACUGGGCGUAAAGGACGCGUAGGCGGAUUAUCAAGUCUCUUGUGAAAUCUAACGGCUUAACCGUUAAACUGCUCGGGAAACUGAUAAUCUAGAGUAAGGGAGAGGCAGAUGGAAUUCUUGGUGUAGGGGUAAAAUCCGUAGAUAUCAAGAAGAAUACCUAUUGCGAAGGCGAUCUGCUGGAACUUAACUGACGCUAAUGCGUGAAAGCGUGGGGAGCAAACAGGAUUAGAUACCCGAGUAGUCCCUGUCUCUUAUAC
RNAcentral lists this ribosomal RNA (301 nucleotides) under uncultured bacterium. Its description in RNAcentral is "partial 16S ribosomal RNA". It matches the Rfam family "Bacterial small subunit ribosomal RNA", at positions 509 to 807 of the family's 1533-position model. The record is from RNAcentral.